RNAcentral lists this ribosomal RNA (158 nucleotides) under Betaeus granulimanus. Its description in RNAcentral is "partial 16S ribosomal RNA". Lineage: Eukaryota; Metazoa; Arthropoda; Malacostraca; Decapoda; Alpheidae. The record is from RNAcentral.
ACUUAAUACAAGAAAGUUACAUUUAAGAAAUAGUUAGUAAAUUAAAAGAAAUUGAAUGUAUUGUGCUGGGGUGGCAAAGAUAAAAUAUUUAACUGUCUUUAAAAUUAAAUAAUGGUAAUUAGAUAGUGAUCCCUUACUAGGGAUUAUAAGAUUAAGUU